UAGGGCACUGGAAGGUCCCUAAACCGAAAGGGGCUCUGCCCGCCCGAGGAUGGGCCGGCGGCCGAUUAGGUAGUUGGUGGGGUAACGGCCCACCAAGCCCAUAAUCGGUACGGGCAGUGAGAGCUGGAGCCCGGAGAUGGACACUGAGACACGGGUCCAGGCCCUACGGGGCGCAGCAGGCGCGAAACCUCCGCAAUGCUCGAAAGAGCGACGGGGGGACCCCAAGUGCCGUGGUACAACCACGGCUUUUCCGGAGUGUAAGAAGCUCCGGGAAUAAGGGCUGGGCAAGGCCGGUGGCAGCCGCCGCGGUAAUACCGGCGGCCCGAGUGGUGGCCACUAUUAUUGGGCCUAAAGCGUCCGUAGCCGGGCUUGUAAGUCCCUGGCGAAAUCCCACGGCUCAACCGUGGGGCUUGCUGGGGAUACUGCAAGCCUUGGGACCGGGAGAGGCCGGGGGUACUCCUGGGGUAGGGGUGAAAUCCUAUAAUCCCAGGAGGACCGCCAGUGGCGAAGGCGCCCGGCUGGAACGGGUCCGACGGUGAGGGACGAAGGCCAGGGGAGCAAACCGGAUUAGAUACCCGGGUAGUCCUGGCUGUAAAGGAUGCGGGCUAGGUGUUGCUUGGACCUCGAGUCCAAGCAGUGCCGCAGGGAAGCC
Molecule: ribosomal RNA, 652 nt
Filed under: uncultured archaeon
Lineage: Archaea
Description: bacterial SSU rRNA
Rfam family: Archaeal small subunit ribosomal RNA
Source: RNAcentral